Molecule: long non-coding RNA, 25280 nt
Filed under: Ananas comosus (pineapple)
Lineage: Eukaryota; Viridiplantae; Streptophyta; Magnoliopsida; Poales; Bromeliaceae
Description: long non-coding RNA (ACOM_LNC013662)
Source: RNAcentral
AAUCCAGCUUUCUCCCAGAUUUGAUUCAAGAAAACUAAUAAAACUCAGCUUCAGCCCGCAAAUACCAGCAUCUUAGAAGAAUACAAAAUUGACUAUACAAAACUGAAUCAAUUUCUGUCAAAUUUGCUCCACGAAUUCUCCAAGAAGUCAACUAACCACCAAACCAAGUUUCACAGCAAUCCAACUCUCCUACGUCACACAUGAGCCAAAACGCCGAAAGUCGCUGUUAGAAUUCUGCUGAAACUGCAGUCUUUGAAGUAGAAAGUAAGCAAAUUGUGGAAUUUGGAGUUAUUUGAAGGGCUAAGAUGCAAAAUAUAGCUUCUCUGUAAAGAAGGGAAGAAAAGGCUUCUCAGGAGUCGAAUAACAUCUAUUUAUAGUGAGUUGAGAGGAUAAGAUAAGCCCCAAGAACAAACACUGCAAGCCUGCUGCCCCUGUAGAAACGCACAGUUUCGGGCGCCCGAAAUCAUGUUUUGGGUGUCCGAAACCUCCAGGCUUCACAAUUGUUCCUCAUCGGUUCCUCUGCCCGCGGUGUGCUGCGCCCAAAACCUGGUUCGGUGGAUCUCACCUACCACCAGCCACGUGUCAGCUCAAAUGAUAUUCACGAGGUGAACUUUCGGACCCACAACCGGGCGCCUGAAACCAGAAUCCAAAUUGGCUUCCAGAUUUGCUCAAACCAGCACUCAAGUUCUGGGCGACCUAAGUCCAGUUCUGGGCGCCCAAAACCUGCAAAACUCAAGUUUUGCUCCUUUGAGUGCGCCAAGUCCAUUUCUGUGUCCAUUUUGUACAAAAACGACUCCAACUCAGUCCGACACUCAUCAGAUAUGUCAACCAGUCACUACUACUGUAGCCAAUCCUAUCCAAACCACUGAAACACUACAUCCUCCCCUACUACAAAAAGUUUUGUCCUCGAAACUUAAAUUCAUACCUCAAUCCGGAGCAUCAAACAAGUAGAGGUAGGAUUCCCUCAUUACUGUCUCAGGUUCCAAGUCGCCUCUUGCUCUUCGUAAUGACUCCACUGCACUUUUUCAUAAGGAAUGACCCGGUUGAGCAAUUUUUUUGAUUCACGAGCCAGAAUUCGCACCGGACGUUCCUCAUAUCUCAAGUCCUCGCGAAGCUCCAGCGGAGUGAAGUCGAUCACGUGGGAAGGAUCAAAUACAUAUUUCCUCAAUACUGAGACGUGGAAAAUAUCAUGGAUACCGGCCAGUCGUGGGGAUAGAGCAAUCCUGUAUGCAACUGGUCCAACUCGUUCCAAUACCUCAAAAGGGCCUACAAAGUGUGGACUGAGCUUUCCACGCACUCCAAAUCUGCAUAUCCCUCUGGACGAUGAGACUUUCAGAAACACAUGCUCUCCAACCUGGAACUCUAUGUCUCGUCUCCUGGUAUCGGCGUAGCUCCUCUGGCAGCUCUAGGCUGUCAAAAGGUGUCGUCGCACAGUGAUGCAUCCACAUCAUUCCAAAAUAAAAGGGAUCGACAUCUGCGUCCAUAUAAUGCUUCAAACGGAGCCAUCUAAAUGCUCGUUGAUAGCCGUUGUUGUACGCAAACUCAGCAAGUCUCAAAUGUCGAUGCCACCCUCCUCCAAGGUCCAGGACACAUGCUCUCAGUAUAUCCUCCAGAGUCUGAAUGGUCCGCUCUGACUGACCAUCCAUUUGUGGGUGAAACGCCGUGCUGAAAUGCAACUGUGAACCCAACGCAGUCUGAAAACUCCCCCAAAAGUGCGAAACAAAUCUCGGAUCUCUGUCUGAUACACUCGAAAUCGGCACACCAUACAGUCUAACCAUCUCAUUCAGAUAUAGCUGCGCGAGUCUCUCCCUGGACCAGGUGGUCUGUACUAGUAGGAAGUGAGCAGACUUAGUCAGCCUGUCUACUAUAACCCAAAUAGCAUCGAAACUAUCCUGUGCUCUAGGCAACUCCACUACGAAGUCCAUCGUAAUCUGCUCCCAUUUUCACUGGGGCACUGGCAGACUCUGAAACUUGUCAGCAGGUACCUGAUGCAUUGCCUUUGUCUGUUGGCAAGUAAAACAUCGAGCUACAAAUCUGCCAAUGUCUUUUUUCAUUCCAUUCCACAAGAACUGUACCUUUAAAUCCUUAUACAUCUUGGUUCCACCAGGGUGAAUCGUAUAAGGUGAACAAUGAGCCCCUCUCAAAAUAUCCUCUCGGAUUUCUGAAUCCAUAGACACACACAGUCGAUCCCUGUACUGCAGUACUUCCGAACUGUCCACAACAAAGCCUUCUGCCUGUCCCCUCUCUAACUGCUCUUGAAUUCUCAACAAGUGAGAAUCUCCACUUUAUUUCUCCCGGAUCCUGUCAAACAGAGUGGGCUGCAAGACCAAAAACAUUAGUCUUGCAAUGGACCCAGGGGACACAACCUCUAGUCUUAACCGCUGUAGCUCCUCGAGUAACGGCCUCCGCUAAGUAAUCAACAUGCUCAAGCUUGCACAGACUUCUUGCUCAACGCAUCUGCCACCACAUUUGCCUUGCCGGGAUGAUAUUGAAUACUAAUAUCAGUCCUUCAAUAACUCCAACCACCGGCGUUGCCUCAGAUUCAAUUUUCUUUCGGUGAACAGAUACUUGAGACUCUUGUGAUCAGUAAACACCUCGCAGUGCUCGCCAUACAAGUAAUACCACCACAACUUCAAAGCAAAAACAACUGCAACAAGCUCCAAGUCAUGCGUAGGGUAAUUCUUCUCGUAAUCCAUCAAUUGCCGUGAAGUAUAAGUAAUUACCCUACCAUGCUGCAUAAACACACAACCCAAACCAUUGUGCGAUGCAUCACUGUAGAUCGCAAAUCCUUCCCCCAUCCCUAGAAGGGCAAGGAUAGGAGUCGACAUCAACCUCUGUCUCAACUCAUCGAAGCUCCUCUGACAAUCCUCACUCCAGAUGAACUUAAUUUCUUUACGAGUCAAUCGAGUGAGGGGUGUGGAAAGCUUCGCAAAGUCUUCCACAAGCCGACGGUAAUAUCCAGCAAGUCCAAGGAACUCCUCACCUCCGUCACCGUCAUCUGUCUGGGCCAAUCCCGAAUAGCAUUAAUCUUCUUCGGGUCCACUACUACUCCAUCUGCAGAAAUCACAUGGCCCAAGAAAGCAACUUCCCGUAACCAGAGCUCGCACUUCUUUAACUUGACAUACAACUUUUUUUCUCGCAGAAGUUGUAGCACAAUCCUCAAGUGCUCCUAAAGCUCAGUAUUACUCCGGGAGUAAAUCAAGGUAUCAUCAAUGAAGACUACCGCAAAUCUAUCCAAGAACGGCUUGAACACUCUGUUCUUUAAAUCCAUAAAUACGGCAGAGGCAUUUGACAAUCCAAAAGGGAUCACGAUAAACUCAUAAUGCCGGUACAGAGUCCGAAAAGCCGUCUUGAAAACAUCCUCGGCCCUCACCCUCAACUGGUGGUAACCUGACUGAAGAUCAAUCUUCGAGAAGGCACAAGAUCCUUGGAGCUGAACAAAUAAAUCAUUGAUGCGCGGCAAAAGAUUAUUGUUCUUGAUGGUCACUUUAUUCAGUCCCGAUAAUCCACACACAACCUAAGUGAACCAUCCAUCUUCUUUACAAAUAACACCGGUGCUCUCCAAGGCGAUACAUUGCAUCUCACAUACCCUUUCUCCAUCUGAUACUAAAGCUGCGCCUUUAGCUCUCUCAGCUCUGCCGAUGCCACCCGGUAAGGUGCCUUCGAGAUUGGUGCAGUUUCAAAAACUACAUCAAUCACAAACUCGAUCUCCCUCUCCAGCAGCAUUGUCGUCAACUCCUGGGGAACAUGAGUCCGAAACUCGCGGACUAAAGGGAUGUCCUCGAGUCCCGGCGCCGCCGUUGGUACCUACACAACCGUCACCAGAAAAGCAACACAUCCUCUAUUCAUCAGCUAUCAAGCCCGCGCUUCACAAUCAAUAGUAGCAUAAUACCGCGCUAGCCAAUUCAUGCCGAGCACAACGUCAAAGUCCUGAGCUGCCCCAAAAAUAACAGGUCUACGGACAUGAUCCACGAAUCUAACUAUACCGGACACGACCAACAACACUCUGCAACCUGUAACACAUGGUCGGGAAUCUGCACCUCUCGUGCAUGUAACAACGGCCCUACCUCUAGACUAUGAAAUGAUGCAAAUGCUUGACUAACAAAAGAAUGGAAUAUAUAGGUAUCAACUAAUGCAUGAACUUAAAUACCAUAAUCAAAAUGAUACCUGCUACUAUACGAUCUGCGGGCGUGGAAUCCUCAACUUUAGCCUCAGACGCGUUGCCCCUAGAUUCCUGCUGUCACUGCCCCCUCUGCAUCGGCACUGCAAUUCCAUAAGGCUGUUAAGGUAUCGGCGGGGUUGGCGCUGUCAACAGUGCUGGCAAUGCUGCGCGAGGACAGGCUGCCCGUAGAUGCCCUGGCUGACCACAUCUAAAACACCGGCCCUCUUUUUAUGCACAAGAUUGCGGCCAAUGCGGUCCUCCACAAAUCACACACUGCGAAGUCCUCUGCGACUGACCUUGCUGACGAAAUCCUCUGGUACGCUGACGCCCCGAAGACUCACGACACUGAGCGUGUGAUCGUGGAAGCCUCGGCGGACGCCUGCUGCUCGACUGCCCUCCAUCAUCUGGAACUGGGCGCUUCCUAUCCUACUUCUACCUUGGCGCUGUUUCUCGCCCCUGGAUUGUCAUAGCUCUUUGCUCCACCCUGAAUGCCUGCUGCACGGAUGCUCUGGGGUCAACACCCGAUCCUAGCGCAACAGUCUCGCACAUCCUCUGCAAUUGUACACUUUGCUGCCAUAUCACCUCAGUCAAGGCAGCAACCCGCUCUCUCAGAUCCGGGAGUGCACUGGGCCCUACCGGCUCAGGCAUCUCAGGUGGUGUGGCACAAUCCCGCGGCGACGGUCGACCUCGGCGUCGAUACAUAGCUGCAGGAAAACAGAAUAAGGGUCAGAUACAAAACACAAACACUCUCGACCCAAUCAAGCGAAAGUCUAGAAGGCGGCCCCUAUUUCUCCACAAAAUUAUGUCGUCUGUAGCGAACAUAAUUUUUCUAGGUCGAAACAGGCACUCCUUCAAUCACUCACUCCACUCUAGGAGGAGUUAGAACUAAUCAAUCACUGACUUUCGCGAUAAAUCACGCCUCUCGCGUCUUGUCUUCCUAAGAUUUGCCAAACCUAAGGUUCCUAGGUCCCAACGACCUAAUGCUAAAUUCUGAUACUAACUUAAUCUGUCAAGCCCCGGAUUACUCGUUCCCCGGGCACGCCGACAAAUCCGCCGUAUACAAAGGACUUUUUCUGUAUACGAAGCGAUAGCUGUACCUAUACCUGUAUUCAUACAACACUACAACUAGUAGUAUAGAGCUGCUAAAGAGAAAAGCAUAUAUAAUAACAGAGGUUUAUCAUACAUAUGUCGCAUCCAGAUAUACAAAACGCUCGUUUCAGUGAGAUACAACAUCAGUAUGUGUAAUAACCCAAAAACUAUAACUACCUGUAGCUGGUAUACUCUAGAUCAGCAGCAACUGGGAAGGGAUCUAAAUCGCGACUCCCUUUUCACGAUCCGAAACAGCAGCAGCAACAGCCGAAGAAGAAGGCUCUGCAAAAGAUUCCAACAAUUAGGCGUGAGAACUACUGCAAAAAGGAGCAGUCCUCAGUAGGUACCGCUACCGACCUCUACGGCUUACCCACUAAGUCUACAGAUGAUAUGCUCAAUGAUAGUAAAGAACUGGAAAUACUCUACAGCUACAUGCUACUAUACUAUUAGGAAUCAACACUAACUAUCUGUAGAACAAUGCCAUCUCUGACCCAAUCUCACUAGGGACUGUAAGCAUGCCCGUCCCAAGGACUGUGAGCACACCCGUCCCCACCUAUCGAAGCUAUACAGCUACGUCCACGCUAAGCAGUCCAUGGAGAGCAAGUUCAACCAGCACGAACCGACAUCAACGCAAACGCACAAAGCCCGAUUCCGAAGUGGCACUCGUGGGCGCUACCCAACCGAGUAUGCAAGCGUAUCUCUGCCGAGCUCAAUCAGGCUCUCACAGGCUAUAGUCAAGUAAACAUGGUCUAACUAGUCUAACAAUCAAACUCACGUGCUCUCGGCACAAUGUGAUGCAAAAACAGCAAUCUGGAUCCACCGUCAACCUCAACGGUACCCGACAGUUCAAAACAGCCUAACCACUGCUGUAAAAAUAAGCUUGACAUUCCAGCACGAGCGUAAAUACAUUCUACACUAUCCUGGGUAUCCCCGUCGACAAACUGCGGCGAUACAAAUAAACUACAGCUCCUAAGCUAUCCGCGUAUCAAAUGCUCACUAACAGCGUGGAUACGAAUCGCAACAGCUUCAGAAAUUAUUCGAGUAUCAAAUGCGCACUAACAGCGUGGAUACGAAACGCAAUAGUUUAAGAAGCUAUCUGAGUAUCAAAUGCGCACUAACAGCGUGGAUACGAAAUGCAACAGCUUCAGGAGCUAUCUGGUAUUUUUAGACAUGACAGUGUAGAACCUAUAGUUGAAGAUUACUCGAGCUCGGCAUCCUAGUACGAGCGUAAAUGCAUUCUACACUAAUAUGGAUAUUUACCGCCCACCAACUACGGCGAUACCAACAAACUACGGCUCCUAGAGCUAAAUCUAGUAGUUUCAGCAUAUGACGGUGUAGAAUCGCUAGUUUUCUCAUAAGUCAAUUCCAAGUCCAAUAUGUAGAUUUAACUAAUAUUUUAAGCUCCAAACUCCGAUUUCAUAAGUAUGCAAAUCACUAGUUCGAGCUAAUUACAAGAUAUACAAAAAAACUAAAUAUACAUGCUGUCAACUACUAAACUUAGAAGGAGAUCCGAAAAUUUCGGUAAGCAUCAUUAACCCACCUCUAGCGUAAUAUCCGACACAGCUAGAAGUCGCGAAGCCGUUGGGAAACACAGCCGAAACCACCCCUGGACCAGCAACCAACCAGCAAUAAGCUCUCAGCGAGUCUACACACAAAAAUCACCAAAACUCCAUCGAAAUCCACAAUUUUUCAGCAUUUGAGCUUAAAUUCACAAAACCUCAAUGCCAAAUUCACCUUCCAAAGCUCAAUUCAGGUGAAGAAAGGUCCCAACAGUAGUGAAGUAUGAUGGAGUACUAUCUUCAGGUCCGAAAUCCAGCUUUCUCCCAGGUUUGAUUCAAGAAAACCAAUAAAACUCAGCUUCAGCUCGUAAAUACCAGCAUCUCAGAAGAACACGAAAUUGACUAUACAAACCUCAAUGAAUUUCUGUCAAAUUUGCUCCACGAAUUCUCCAAGAAGUCAACUAAUCACCAAACUAAGUUUUACAGUAAUUCGACCCUCCUACGUCACACACGAGCCGAAACGCCGAAGGUCGCUGCUGGAAUUCUGCUGAAACUGCCGUCUUUGAAGUGGAAAGUAAGCAAAUUGUGGAAUUUGGAGUGAUUUGAGGGGCUAAGAUGCAAAAUAUAGCUUCUCUGUGAAGAAGGGAAGAAAAGGCUUCUCAGGAGUUGAAUACCUUCUAUUUAUAGUGAGGAGAGAGGAUAAAAUAAGCCUCAAGAACAAACACUGCAAACCUAUUGCCCCUGCAGAAACGCACAGUUUCGGGCGUCUAAAACCAUGUUCUGGGCGUCCGAAACCUCCAGGCUGCACAAUUGCUCCUCAUCGGUUCCUCUGCCCGUAGUGUGCUGCGCCCGAAACCUGGUCCGGCGGAUCUCACCUACCACCAGCCACGUGUCAGUUCAAAUGAUAUUCACGAGAUGAACUUUUGGACCCACAACCGGGCGCCCGAAAUCCGGAUCCGAAUUGGCUUCCAGAUCUGCUCAAACCAGCACUCAAGUUCUGGGUGCCCAAAACCAGCAAAACUCUAGUUUUGCUCCUUUGAGUGCGCCAAGUCUAUUUCUGCGUCCAUUUCGUGUAGAAAUGACUCCGACUCAAUCCGACACUACCAGAUGUGUCGACCAAUCACUAAUACUGUAGCAAAUUCUAUCCAAACCUUUAGAACACUACAAUAUAAUAGAGGUAAAAAUAUUAAAAAUUAAUUAGGAUAAAGUAUUUAACAUAUAGUUAACUAAACUUUUUUAAUGGAUUCUAACGUCAGGAAUAAAAUUUAGAAAAAAUAUAUUUAUAAUUUUUUAUGUUUGUGGGGAUGUGUAAUGUAAUAAUUAAUCCUUGUAUAAUGUUUCGAAUAGCAGUUCUUGCCGCAGCUACGGGUGGAAACGAGCCGAGCUCGAGCGAGCUUAUGUCAGCUCAAAUUCGGCUUGAAAUUAAUUUCGAGCCUAAAUCUAGGCUCAAGCUCGGCUUGAAAUUAAUUCGAGUCGAGCUCGAGCGAGCCUAAUUUUGAGUCGAGCCGAGCUCGAGCUCUAAACGAGCCGAUUGAAAUUCUCGACAUUAUAUAAUCAAUAGUUUAAUUUUUAUAGAACAUUACCUGCAAUUUGAUGCAACAUGUCCAAUAGUUCAAAAUACAAAAUAAUUGCAAAAAAUGUGAGCUAGGGUGACUGCCUGACCGGGUGAGGGUCAGAGAGAGAGAGAAAGAGAGGGAAAAAAAUUAGGAAUUUGAGAAUUUGAAUGUUAUCAUGUUUUAAGGUUAUGUGCAACAGUGAAAGUCUAAAAGAGAGAGUGUGUUAUGUAAAUUUAGAGUUGGGCGAAAUUGUACCGUGUACUUGUUGGGUUUAUUUUAUGGGCGAAAAAUAAUGGUCAAAUUAAAUUAAAACCUAUAUAUAAUUAAAAUAUAUUUUUUAUAUAUUAUAUAUAUAUUGAGCUUUUUGAGCCUAAUUCGAACGCAGCUGAGUAAUACUCAAGCUCGCUUGAAAAAAUUUGAAGCGUACUUGAGCGAGCCAAUAAUUGAUUCAACACGAGCCGGCUCGCUCGUUUGCCAGCCCUAGCCGCAGCACAUACGGUACGGUGCUGUGUUGGGUUUUGAAUCACACUUUUUUUUAAAAAAAAAAAAUAGUAGUAAUAAUAAUAAUAAAAAUUUUCUCAUCACUGUCGAUCCCUGCCUCGGUUGCUCUCUCUCUCGGAUCUCUCGAGCAGAAAAAGAAGAAGAAGAAGAAGCAACAGCAGCAACAGCGUGUGCGGCGGCGAGCUGCAAGGUGACUGAGAACGAGCCACCUGCCCCGCCUCCCUUUCUCUCUGCGCUGACUGAGGCAGAGCCGCCGCCUAUCCCAUCUCUCUCUCUCUGGUGUUGAUAAGAUGUGUUAAUGGAAAAUUUAAACGUUUUUAAUACCUAUAAAUAAAUAUCAUUUAAUAUUUUAACAGCUGGACUGCAUAUACGCCCGCAUAUGCGCUAUGCGGUGGAUAAUAUGGACACUACACACCGCCUUUUGGAAUAUGGGGUCUUUGUGUUAGAUAAGUUGAAUCGCUUCUUCGAGACUAAACUUUCACUUCGAGACAUAGUAAGCUUUUGAAUAUUUUGUGCUUGUGAUGAUGUAUGAAAAUAAUAUUUUGUUUCUUACUUGAGGUUCCGCUGAUUAAUUGAUACUUAGCUUUUGAUUGAAACGAUCAGUUUGAUCAAUUACUUUUUGAAGGUAAGUGACUAGACACUCUUUAGUUUAUUUUUAGUAAAAAUAUGGAAAUAGGUUACGACAACAAAAUAAUUACUUUCUGUAUAAUUUUCUGAAAAGUACGGAUCAGGCGUACUUACACAGAUUACGAAGAAUUAGAAGAAAAGGCUUUUCUCAAGGUUUUGCUCUCAAUGUUGUAUAAUUUUAGAAAGAUAAGUACUUAGGAAAUUUAUGCUUAUUUGGGAAAAUUUAUUUAUUUUUUUUCAAAUUAUUGACUUGCUAAAUAACCUCAAAGUUGUGAUGUCUCUUAGUUUUCUACUUUAAUUGUGUUGGCUAUGUUGACAAAAUUAUAAGCUAGAUUCGAUUGUGUAAUACACCUCCGAGUGCUACUUUGAUGCGCCCUCAGGUGCUAAUUAAGUCAUCAUAUCUUGAAGCGGGCGCAAACAAAAGAUCAAUUGUAUGGAGUUUCUACUACUCUCGCGUAUGUAAUCAAAAGUGAGUGGACGGUUAGGAACACCAAGGUACACAAAGGAUUAGUAAUGGAGAUAAUGUAAGGUAUCAAAAAAGAGGUUUUUCUUCCUAAAAAGAAUCAUAAUAAGGACUUGAAAUUGGUAGAAAUGAUCAAGUAGUACUUCCCUAUGAUUUCGAUCUAGAGUAUGCUCCUAUUUACUGGUUAAAGAAAUGACUGUCUAUUAUUUCUUACCCGUCUUCUUCGAGUAGUUGUACUCCCUCCCAUGCCCCUUGGAGUGCUAUUUUGACGCGCCUUUGGGUGUUAUUUUGAUGGGCCUCUAGGUUCUAUUUUGAUACUCCUACGUUUGACUUUACUUUGUGAUCGCAUCGUAGGUUGUGUCUGAUACGUGCUUUGGACACUUUGUGAUUGCGUCGUAGGUUGUGUCUGAUACGUGCUUUGGACCUGUAACAAUGGGUCGCUUAUGUAGUUACUUGCCAGAGACUUUUGUUUUAAAAUUUUAAUUUCUUUCUUGGAAAAAAAAUGCUUUUGUCAAAAAUUCUAUUUUUCUUAGUUCAAUUUGUAAAAUAUGUUUGUUUACAAUUCAAAAUUCUGCAAAUAAGAUUUGUAGGAUUUUUGUGAAACCUAGUCACUAUUGUUGUAAUCCGAUUAAUGUGGUGAAUGGUUGCUUACCCAAAAUUGAGUCCGAUCAGCUCGUGGAGAUAGGAUUUAGUUAUCGCUAGAUGCAGAGACCCUUAUUUAACUUUAAUGCCUUGGUUAAUAAAUUUAGUUAGUGGUUUAAAAUUUAAUAAUUUUUAACAUAGUGGGUGUUUGUUUAGUUUACAAUUGUUUUAAUUUUUAGUGAGUUCGAAUAAUUGAGUAUUUGUGGAACCUUUAGUAAUGGAUUUUAUUUUUGCAGAUAAUCGAUUUACUAAAGAUUUAAGGGUUUCCAAUUUGCUAGGUGUUUAACUUGUUCUUGAGGUUAGAUGUUAUUGCUUGAUAUAUACAGGUUUUCUUGCCUUGCAUAUUUGCGAUUAACUAAUUGCAAGUAUGCGGCAUUUGUUAUGUCUCGGAAUUGGGGCAUGGUAAUACCUCUAAUUAGACCUAGUAGGUAUAGUUUGCCUCUCAUGACCUAUCGUAACAACUGAAAAACUUUAUUAGUUUCUCACUUUGUUGAAAUCUUUUCAGAUCAAGCCAUAGAUGAGGAUAGGCUGUGAGCAAUCGCGUUGCGAGAUUUUAGUGGUUAGAUAGAUUAGCUCUGAUUUUUUGUUAGUCAUAUUCUGAGAGUGACAUAUGUAUAAAGCUUAUAAUGUAGUUAUAAAGUUAAAAGGAUUUGAUAGAAUCUGUGGAACUAAGUAAACUUUAUAGUUAAAAUCUAGUUAGAUGCUCACUUUGUUGAUAUCUUAAAUGUAUAUUUUGCUAAGUAUACAAAUUGUGAUAGGUUGUAUCAUUUGAUGCUUUGCGCACACAUGGGAUACUUGUGUGUCCGGUUGGGCUUCUGCGCAGGGUGUGAUAGGUUCUAGCUCUACACAAAUCUCACCAAGUUCAUCAGUAAGUUCUUCUCCGAAAUCAAAUCCAUUAAGGUGAGAUCCCUUCCACAGAUUUACGAAAUUAUAGGAAUGUGCAAGUUUAGUUCAACAGUUGGAUCCGAGAAAUUAGAUGACGUGGCUAACAGCUAAGUCAUCAGAUUAGUGCAAAGCUGUUCAUGAGGAGAUAAGCAGUGUGCGAAAUCAAACUUGGAAGCUUAUAGAUCACUCCUAAAUAAAUAUACAAUUAAACUAUAUAUAGUGGAUUUACAAGACCAAGUUCAAGACCAAUGGAUCCAUUAAUGAAGUUGAAGGUGAGAAUUAUUGCAAAAGGCUACCCACAGCGGGAAGAUAAUAAUUUUUCUGGAGCUUUUGUUGCAGUAGCUCGAUUAGAUACAAGUUUAGAAUAGUUUUAGCCUUAGCAGCUCGAAACAAAUAAAUUUUUUUAAUUUGAUGUUAAAUCUAUAUUUUUAAAUGGUGUUUCUCAUGAUUAAGUGUAUGUUAAGCAAUCUUAGAGGUAUGAUAUUUAGAGCAAUGCUCCUAUACACCAACAAAUCUCAACCCUUAAUUUUUUUAAAAUGGAUGGUAAGGAUGCAUUUUAUUUCAGAGGGUGACUGGCUUUUGUUGUCUUGGGUACCGGUCACCCUCUUACCGAGGGUAAAGAGUUUUCUCAUAGUACCAAGGGGAUUUUUGUAAAUUCCCAUUCCCAUUCCCAUAAUGUCCCUUUUGUAAAACAUUUCAUCUUUCCCUUCCAUUUUUGUAAAUUUUUCAUUUACAGCAUCCCAUAUAUCUUCCUCCAAACCCAUGUCUUUUUUUUUUUUUUUUGUUGAGAGAGAAAUCCAUGUCCAUGUUGCAUUCAUUUUUGAAGUAAUAGCUAAUCUAUACUUUUUAAUUUUUAAGUGUUAGAUCAUUUUUUUUCUUUUAAUAUUGUGGUGCUACGACAUUGGGGCGUUGCCGAAUUUGAAUUUAAUUUUAAAAAUAGAAGCCUUUUAUUUAAUAAAUAAUAAAAGUUGGGCUUAUAAGUACAGCAUAACUUACAAUUUAAAAUAAAUUAAUAUAUUUGAACUUUCAUGUUAUUUUAAUAUUAAAUUAACAAUUUGAAUUGAAAUGUACUACUCAUUUAAACAUAAAUUUUUUCUUUUUGAAAAUCAGAUGUAAAAUUAAAUUUGAUUUUAAUGUAUACAAUUGUAAAGUUUAAGCUCAAAUUAAAAUUUAAAUUCAAUUUAAAAAGGUUUGUUACUUAUCAAAUUAGCCACUAUCUAAUUUGGUAAGUAACAAAAUUAAAUAAGGAAAUAAAUAUUUAUUUAGGGUUUAUCAAAUUUGGUAAUUAGCUAGUAUUUAUUUUCCAAUAUUACUCUCACUAUUGAUCUUGAGUUGUAACUUGUUGAGCAAGUUACUAUUGCGUAAAGUCAAUCUAACCCUUAAAAUAUGAACAACUAUAUUUAAUUGAGCCGGUGUAUUGAAGCAUUUCUUUGAAAUUUAAAUGUUGGAAGAUAAGAUUCACAGCCUUAAAAAAGCGACUACAUAUGGGAUCAAGCAGGCAUCUCAAGCAUGAUAUAGCAAGAAUGAUGCCCAUUUUCUUCAAAAUGGUUUUAAAUGAAGCGAAAAUGAGCCAACUUUCUACAUGAAGAAUCAAGGUACAGAAAUUUUGUUUGUCUUUAUGCAGAUAAUUUAAUAUAUGUUGGAUGUGCAGAAAGAGAAUGAUGAACUUAAAUUUUAUAUGGUGCAAGAAUUCGAAAUAUCGGAUCUUGAUAUGAUUAAUUAUUUUUUGGUUCUUGAAGUAGCACAGUGUGAAAAGGGUACUUUUAUUUUACCAAAGAAUUAUAUUAUUUGAUCUACUUGAGAGAUUUGACCUAAGUGAUUGUAACCUAGUGGCAAACCGUAUGGGAGCAAAUAUAAAAUUUUCAGUUGAUGAUGGUGUAGAGAAAGUGGAGUCCAAUUAUGUACAAGAGUUUCGUUAGGAGUUUAUUAUAUGUGACAAAGACAAGACUGGAUAUUGUGCAAACAAUCAAUUUGAUAUCUUGGUUAUGCAACAUUCGAGCAAAAUUCAUUUUGUUGUAGCAAAAUGGAUCCUGAGAAACUUGAUGGAACUAUUGGUCAUGUUUUAUGGUACGGCAACUCUAAUAAUUUUGUCUGUUUUGGUUUCUUCCAAUAGUGAUGGGGUAGGUGGAGUGGAUGAUAGAAAACGCACAAGCAUGUUCGUCUUCAAGGUUAUUUCAAUAGCAAUAUGCUGGUCCUCAAACAAGCAAUACAUGACAGCAUUUCAUCUUUUAAAGCAGAAUAUAUUGUUGUUAUUGUUGCAUCUUGCCUACCAGUGUGGACACGAACGGUGGAUUUUGACUGACUAGGAGUAAGGCUGGAAGGAGCUUACAUCCAUUUACUGUGACAGUCGAUCAACAGAUACCAGGACAAAAAAUCCGGGGCACCAUUGUCGCACCAAACAUAUUGAAAUUUACUGCCAUUUCAUUUGGAAAAGUGGCGAAUGGCGACAUCGAGUUGGCGCAUCAAGUCAAGAGCAACUAGUGGAUUUUUUUUCACCAAGCCUCUUAACUCUGAAAUAUAUUAUUUGAAGGAGUUAGAGUCACAGAGGUCCCGUGGGGUUGUGAUUAAGAUAAGACCAAAUCUAAUUUAGUUUUGAUAAUAUUAUUAGCUUUUCCUUGGAAAAGUUAGUAGAUGGUUUGGACAUAUUUGUUUUUUGGCUAAUCUCUUUGUUAGCUAAUGACCUUAUUUAUUACCUAUACACCAUCAAAACUAGGGGCAAGUCGUUAAGUAGCUUUCUAGUAGUCAUAAUUAAGCAUCAGGCAUAAAAAGAAAUGUCAUGUCCUGAAACUAUCUUAUAAGUCUAUUAAAAUAAUAAUAAUAAAAAAAUCUAUGAGUUGCUCUUUACAGUAAUAUUACAUUCUGUUGCAGAAACUAGGUCGGCCGCAAUCUUAAAAUCUCUUUUAAAGAGUUUUCCAAUGAUGUUAAUCUUUAACCAUACGAAUAUUACUACUAUAUAUUGAAAUGUACAUAACUAAUGAAACACGAAAACAGAUGUACGAAAAAAACACAAAUAUUUAGAAAGAAAAUAAUGAGACUCAGUACCAGAUAAAGAAACUGAUUAAUUAGUUAGGGUAACUACUCUCUUACAGAAUUUGUACGGUUUCACCGUCUAUGAAUAUAUAAGGAACGUGAGCAAUAAGUUGCCAGUCUAGUCCUUGAUCCUUUACGCAGCGCUCCUUCAGCAAAGGGCACCCCCCAGAUAUACAAUUCUUUAAGCAAAGCUGGUAGGCCAUUCUCUGGCAAUGAUCUAAUCUCAGGGCAGAGGCCUAUUGACAACUUCUUGAUGGAGGAAAAGGUUACUAGAGAAGCAGGAAGGCUCUGCAAAUUUCCACACUCGGAGAGUUGUAGUUCUUCGAGUGAGACUAGUUUCUGGAACCAUUCUUCCUGCUCUACUGUGAAGUAAGCAAGAUGAAUGCAGUUGUGAAGGACAAUACGAAUAUAACUAUAUAUUGAAAUAUACAUAACUAAUGAAUCAUGAAAACAGAUGUUCAAAAACCAUACAAAGAUUAGAAAUAAAAAAAUGAGACUCAGUACCAGAUAAUGAAACUGAUUAAUUAGUUAGCAUAACUAUUCUCUCAUAGAAUUUGUACUGCUUUAUCAUCAAUGCAUAUAUAAGGAAUGUGAGCAAUAAGCUGCCAGUCUAAUCCUUGAUCCUUUAUGCAGCGCUCCUUCAGCAAAGGGCAGCCCCAGAUGCGCAAUUCUUUAAGCGAAGCUGGUAGGCCAUUCUCUGGCAAUGAUUUAAUCUCAGGGCAGAGGCCUAUGGACAACUUCUUGAUGGAGGAAAAGGUUACUAGAGAAGCAGGAAGGCUCUGCAAAUUUCGACACGCCAUGAAUGAUAGUUCUUCAAGUGAGAUUAGCUUCUGGAACCAUUCUUCCUGCUCUACCUUGAAGCAAGCAAGACGAACGCAGUUGUGAAAUGUCAUACGACGGAGGGAGCGGACGGUUCCUAGUGUGAUCCAUACAUUGUUGAAAGGGAUAUCAUCCGUGCUAAAAAAAGAGAGUGAUUUCAGAUCCGGAUCCUCAUAUGGCUGCUCAGUCUGCAUGAAAUCAUUCAACUUGGGACAUUCUUCAAUUUGCAAAUCUUUCAGGCUAGUGAGGGACCGAAACCCGGUAAGUAAGCUAAACUCCGAGCAUCUAAGGACCAACGACUCUAGAUGCCUUAGGUUAGACGGACAAACUGAUGUUCUAUGUGGGUACUCCCUCAAUUCCAGGCGGACUAGGGAGGUCAGGCUCUGUAGACAUCUAAGCAGGGCAUCACCGAAGUCACCACAGUCAAUAAUUCUGAGGUCAAUCACUUCUGAACUUAAGUAAUGAAGUGGGACUUUUCUCAGCUUCAAGCAAUUAUAAAUGUGGAGCAGACGGAGUCGAGGGAAAAAUUGCCGACCAUCAGUGUGAGACCACUCUUCGCAUUCCUUCAAGUCGGUAAACGUGAGCUCCUUGAGUGAUGGAAAGACUUGAUCAGCAUCCCCAUAGAAUUCAACUCCGAUUCGUUUUACCGCAGGCAAUGUGUUAAUGGUCAGGACCUUGAGAAAAGGAAGCUGCCCGAGGGGUGGUAGACUCGCACACCUACCGCAGUUGCUUAGAUAAACAUAUUCUAGAUUGGUGAGGUGCUGCUUCUUUGCCAGCCAAUUUGGAAGUGUCGCACCUCCAUAAUGCCGAAUUGUAAGCUCUUUAAGACUGUAAUGUGGUUCUAGGCCUUCAAACAUAUCCUCCUCCAGGUCACUCUGGCCUUUUACAUCAGGCUUCCUAUUCAAAAAUAGUGCAUUAAGGUAUUCUUUGUUCUUUAAGUCGGCUUCCAUGGCCUCCUCCCUAGUUUCCACACUCUCAAGAUGUUGUAUAACAAGUCGCCUCCGGAGAUUUCUCAGUCCCUUCAACUCUCCGAUCCGGUGCCCUCUCUUCCUUGUGAUACGGAAUUCUUCCAACUCCUGAAGGUCGGUAAGCCUCCCGAUCCCAUCAAUUAGAGCAAUCGUUUCAGCUCCUGCGUAUAAAUGUCGCAUGUUUAUCAGUCUGUUCAUUCCUUCAGGCAUGUUCCUAAAGUGGCAGUGCUGCAAGUUAAGAACCUGCAGAUGGCAAAGCCUGGAAAACUGUUUUGGAAUUUGUCUGAUUCCAGUGCACGAAAUAUCUAGGUACCGAAGAUGUGAUAGGUCACAGAUAGUAUCUGGUAACUUUUUUACUUGUAUGCCGCUGCGCGAUAAAUCUAGCACCCGCAGGCUUUUGAGAUUCUUUAAGAUGCCUUCGAGAAUCCCAUGAAGUUCUGAAGAAUCAUAAUCCCGAAAAAAUAUGAUAGUUCGUAAAUUUUGAAACUUGGGGACGUCUUUUAGCGCAUCUAGAUUAUCUGUGUUGAGAGUUAAGUGACGAACGGUUGCUGGAAACAUUGCCGGCCACUCACUGACGACAUAGCAUUCAUCCAAUGAAACAUACACGGCCAAGUCUCUGAUCAGAUCAUGCAUCACAAACUUGUUAUUCAUCGUAGGGAAAAAGAAGUGCCUGUUGGUUAACUCAUCAAACAUGCGAUUGCCUGAGUCCUCCGGUCUGGUUCUCUGGUCGGAGUCGAAUUGGAUAAAUCCCUGAGCAAUCCACAUGUGGACCAGUUGUUCCUUCUGGAAUUCGUAACCCCUCGGGAAUAUAGAAGUGUAAGCAAAGCAUUGUUUCAGGUUCGUGUUCAUGUGCUGAUAGCUCAAUCCAAGAGACGGAAGGAUGCUAUCUAGCGCAAGUUCUUGCUUCCACCACUCGCUUUCAGAGAUUGAUCUCCAGUACCCCUCUUCUUGUUCAGAUUGGAGCAGAGUUCCGAGCACCUUUCCUGCAAGCGGUAAGCCGUGUAGCUUUUUUGAUAUUUCUUGACCAAUUAAUUGCAGCCUUCUCCGCUUGCUCCCAUCAAGCUGAUCCUGAUCAUCGCCAAACGCGCAAUGUUCAAAGAGCUCCCAAUAGUCGUCGUCCCCCAAGCACUUCAACUCAAUGGGUUCCACGGUCCCCAUAAGAUCUGCCACAACCGGGCUUUGAGUAGUUACUAAAACAGUACUUCCUUUCGAUCCAAGUGUCAACGCGCUAUGGAGCUCCUUCCACUUGAUUCCUCUCUCGUCCCACACGUCAUCGAGUACGAACAAGAACCUUUCAUUCCUAGUGGCAUCCGUGAGCUUCACUAGAGCCUCAUCUAAACUGAUAUCGACGAAGCGAGGAUCGGCAAUCGCCCCAUGCACCAGCUCUUUGGAGAUCCUUUUCACGUCGAAAUUGUUGGAGACGUAGACCCACCUCCGGAGUUGAAAGUGCUGGGCUACCCUUGGAUCGUUGUAGAUAAGCUGUGCAAGAGUUGUCUUGCCGACUCCUCCUAUACCUAUGAUCGGAAGAACGGCAAGACCAGGACCGCUGCUGCUCCCCGCUGCACAGCUGCAUGUAGUGGUGCCACCACCAUCAGCCGGCUCUCCUGAGCUGAGCAGCAGAUCUAGCAUCAUCUGUAUCUCUUUGUCCCUCCCAAACACCUUGUCUGCCAGCAGGAACGAGCUGGUCUCCCUGCAGGCCGCGGUGGCUUCCUUCCGCGGCUUCCUUCUUAUCUUUGCAGUACUGAUCCAGCUUCAAUUCCUGGCGGCCUAUGUCAGCAUAAAUUUUAUCAAGAUUCUCUACAAGAUUCUUCAAGCUUUUAAUGAGGUCCUCGUCAGAGAAGGUAAAAUGCAUGAGAAGUUUGUGAGCCGAGGAUGAUAGCUCGCCCACCUUGCUCCGCUGAUGCAAUCCGUCGUGCAGCUCUCUGAACUCGAACUCGUCCACGACAUCGUCUGCCGCGCAUGCGGCGUCUUUGAGCUCGGCCAUCCAUUUGGCCAGCGCCUGAUCCCUGACAGGCAUCCCCUCGGCCGCGUCGAUCACCGCUCGGAUGGGCGGAAGCCGGUCCUCCACGUCCUGCAGCAUGUCCUCCACGCCUUUGAGCAGAUCACAUCGGUCGGAGAAGUAGGAGAAGACCUUGCUGACCAGCUUAUCCAGAACAUAAAACGCGAACCACUCGCCAACCUUCAUCCCUACAGAUUCUGCCAUUUCCGUGAUGAGGAGAGGAUGAUGAUAAGCUUUUCCCUUUUCGGACCAAGUGGUUUCCAUGCAGAGGUGAAGAAGACAUUAGGAAUCUCUUCCUUGUUGACUUCGAAUUUAAAACUCUACAUUUGGUGACAGGCCUUGGCUACCCAACUGUCAGUGUCAGUAAAUAUAAUUGUUUUGAGAUAUAUAUUUAAAGGUUGUAUUGCACUUGGACUCUCUAAUUUUGGCUAAAUUUUAUUUUGGUCAUCUAACUUUUUCAACAUUAAAGAUUUUAUAAUUUUGAAAAAGUGUUUCAGUUUAGAUCCUGUGUACAUUAAUUUCUAUUGGAGGGCAAAUCAUCCUCUACACCCACUGCAUAAAAUUUUUUUUUACGCCCCAUUUGUUUAUCGAUCCCUUAUAACACCUCGUAUUUCAAGACGAUCUCUCAAUAUUGAGUUAUAGUAUUUUCUUUAUUUAGAAAUUAGAUCAUUGAUUUGGAAGUAUGUGAAUAAAUUGCAUGUUUUGUUCUCAAAUUUUUUAGGCGUGUAAUACUUUAGUCCUCAAAUUUAAUUUAUUAUAAUUUCUUAUUCGAACCUUUUGAAUUGUUGCAAUCAGAUCUUACGAUGUAUCACAGAUAUAAAAAUAAUUUGACAUCUUAAUUAUUGUCGUAAUAUUAAUUACAAAUUCGCCACAUUUCUUCCGCAUAAAUUUGUAAGACUUUCUUUUUUUUUUUUGAUUAAACAGGGAUAUACCCUUUUUGAAACCAGGUACAGGGACCAGAAGAGAGAAAGAAAACAGAGCCAAGACCAGCUCAAAAUACAAAGUCUGUUACAAACCAACUAAAAGAGAUAGCACUCAAACCAGAGACAAAAGAUUAGAAGUUGACGACAAACGUAAGAGUAAGGAAGUGUUGACGAUCUUAGCUUCCUAUCGCUGAGACCCAUUGGCUGACCGUGUCAUUGAUUACUCUUGCCAGAUUUUCGCUCCAUUGUAUCUUGUUGUCGAAUAAUCUCCUAUUUCGCUCUUUCCAUAACUCCCAACAUCCCACUGCGAUACAGAGAUCGAAACUCUUUUUUGGUUUCCCUGAUAAGAAUUCUCUCGAGCAGCACCAGCGAGCCACUAACCCACCCGGUGAGGUGGACAUCUGAUGUUGCGCUGUAGGAGCAGAACGCAACAACGAAAUCCACAUUGAUUUGGCAUGGAAGCAGUCUAACAGAAGAUGCUCCAUUGUUUCAGAGUUUGAAUUGCAUAGCACGCAAACAGAGGGAUCGUGCCAACCGCGCUUGGCUAGAGCGUCGGCUAUCAACAUCUUAUAUCUCGUUGCAAGCCAUAAGAAAAUUUUGACUUUAAGAGAUAUCUUUAGUUUCCACAGAAAGGGAAUUUGGCAGUUGUUGAUUCCGUCGUAGAUCGGGAAAUCAUAAGUAAAUCGUGCAGAUACGUUCCAUCACCAGGAAAUCAAGUCCAAAGAAGGCUCCCAAAGAACGAAAUUGCUAAUCAAAUCUGCAAGCUGAUUAAGCUCUAGACAUACUUCGGAUUGUUCCGAUGUGCGGAAACCCAGAUUUUGUUGCAACCCAAAGCGUUGGAUCCACUUGUUGACCGAGAGCUGUUUGUGGGUUGAAGCUGCAUAGAGGUUGGGAAAGCGGUUCCUUGGGGUAAGAUCCCCGCACCAUCUCGCGUUCCAGAAAGAUGUUAACUUUCCAUUACCAAGAGAAAAAUUGACCGAUGUAAGGAACGGAGCAGCAAGCUUGAGCAUUCCCCUCCAGAUUGGGCUGGUACCAGGUGGACUAGAAGCAGUUAGGUCCAGUACUCAUCGUUUGUAGUGUUUUUGCAUCAAAAGCUGGACCCACGGCAAGUUUUGAGAGUUGUAGAAGUUCCAAAGACCCUUCAUGAGUAAAGCCGCAUUAGCGACCUGCAGGUUUCGUAUCCCGAUACCCCCCUCCCUCUUUGGUUGACAAAUAUGUCUCCAUUUCGCGAGACAAUGAAAGACGUUGUCAAGCUUCUUGCCUCUCCAGAAGAAGCCACGAUGAAUUUUGUCCAUCGCUUUUAUCACCCAGGUUGGGAGAAGGAAGCUCGAGCAAAAAAAAACAAGGAUGGAGGUGAUAACCGAGUUGAGGAGGACUAGGCGACCACCUCUAGAGAGUGUAGCUCCUUUCCAACCAGCCAAGCGAGUAUCGAUCUUUUCAAGGAGUGGUAGAUAAUCAGAUUUGAGAAGCUGCUUAGGGGAAAGAGGUAGUCCCAGGUACUUCAACGAGAAACUAUGCGUGGGGCAACCGAAGAGGUGGCUAAACAUUAAGCCUGUUCUACUGACAAGUGAAUUGGGAUUAAGGCGCUUUUAUUGUAAUUGAUCUUGAGCCCCGAGCUUUCAGAGAAUGCAUGUAGGAUGAUCUUUAUAGUAGCCGCUGAUAUGAUGGAACCAUCAAAGAACAGAAGAACGUCAUCGGCGAAUUGUAGGGUGAGAAGUUUAACAUCUCCUACGGCUAGAGUAGGUAUGUUUCAAUCCUUCUCACGUGAUUGACUUCACUCCACUAGAGAUUGGCGAGGAUUUGAGAUACGAGGAGCAACCGGUGCGGAUUCUUGCCCGCGAGACGAAGGAAUUGCGCAACCGGGCCAUCCCGUAUGUGAAAGUGCAGUGGAGCAAUCACGAGGAGCGGGAGGCGACUUGGGAUCCUGAGAAGUGAUGAGGGAGUCCUAUCUCGACCUGUUCGUUGCCCCGUCUUGAGGUAUGUUUCAAGUUUCGAUGACGAAACUUUUUGUAGUAGGGAAGGAUGUAGUAUUCUUGGGUUUACUUUUGUUUUUUUAACUAUUAUUAUUUAUUUCUCUCUUUGAGUUUGUAUGGGGGGCAUGGUGGUCAUUUGGUUGUGAUAAAGAUGCCACGUAUCCUUUCAGGUUUAUCCUCUCAAUUAACUGAGAGUGUGCAUGUUUUUAUUUCUCUCCUAUACUUGACCGUACGCAAGGAGAAGGAGAACCCGGUUGGAGCUCGUGUGUCGCCGACGUCGCGCCGCGGUACCGUUUGAGCGUGUGUUCGUCGUCGUAGCAUCGCGAGGAAGCCAGGCGCAGGUGCGUUUUUGCCGUUCUCGACGUCGCACCGGAUUGGAUUUAGCUUUUGAGGUAGGUUUAUCAUCGGAUUUCUACUCCUAUAGCCUUGUUAGUCAACAUGUAUAGUUAGGAUAUCUGCGUUGGUACUGUUUAGCUCAAAUUCAUGUUUAUGCAUUGUUCUAGGCCUAUAUAUUGAAUUGGGAGCAUGUUACUGUUUGUUAUUAAUUAUACAUGUUGGACUUGGAUAAAACAUAGGAGAAAACCAGCGUUCGGGACUUGGCAUAUGUUAAACUACCUGAUUUAGCCCUAGGGGCCGUUGUAUUUUUAUACUGUUACAGUAUCCUCAUAGUGAGUAUCCCAGGUAGUUCAGAUUUCAGUUAUACUCAUGCUAGGAUGCCGAGCCGAUUUUUUACAGUAGUGUUUACAGUAUUCCGGAUUAGUGGGUCCCGUAGUGGUUGAUGGUGGACCCGGAUUUGGUCAUUUUGAGAUCCGGUUGUGCCGAGGGCACAUGACUAGUGGUUAGUAGCCAAUUGGACUUAUUUCCUUGACUUUAGCCUGUGAGAGCCUGAUUGAGCUCGACAGAGAUACGCUUGCAUACUCGGUUGGGUCGCGCCCACGAGUUGCCACUCCGGAGUUUGGCUUUGUGCUUUCGCGUUGAUGUCACUGACUAGUUUUGCUAUCCACGAACUGUUUUGCGUGGAGGUAGCGUGGCUUAGACAGGCGAGACGGGUGCGUUCACAGUCUCCGGGAUAGGUGUGUUCACAGUCCCUAUUGAGAUUGGGUCAGAUUUGACAGUUACUACAGUUGGAUAGUGUAGUGGCAGGUAGCUAUAGAUUUCUUUCCAGAUUUAACUACUAGUUUGUUUCUGACUGUAGUCUUAGUUGGUGGACCGAUAAGGUUGAGGGCGGUACCCACGAGGACUACUUGUUUUUACAGUAGUUCUUAUGCCCAGUUGUUACCACUGUUUUGCAGAGCCACCGGUUUCAGUUGCUGCGCCUUCCCGAUUCUUCUGAUGAUUCCUCCUCCGCUGCCUGUAGCUUCCUCAGCUCUCACUACCUUUUUCUCACCGUCACGGAGGUUUCCUUCGUCGCCCCGCUCUGUUUCCGCUCCUGCGCUGCGCUCCGCUCCGACAGUGCGGGGCCUUAUGUGUGCAAGGGUCCCGUGCGGCUGUUUAGGCGGCAUAUGUUUCUUAAAAAAGACAUAUGCUUCACAUAGCCAUUGACUUUUAUAUGUUAUGAUGUUGGUCAUCAUAUCUCGACAUUUCUUUGGUUUGUCCAUCCUAUUUUGUUCAGAGUGUAUGUAUGUUGUUUUACGAUAUGUUUCCAUGAGCGAGGUCGCUCAAUAUUGUUGACAUACAUGUACUUGAGUUGUUUUAUUUGGCUUUGAUGGACGUCACCACCUAGGAGAUAGAGUCGUUGAGCAGCCCAUCCCGAGAUUGAGCGCCGCGGGAACGGAGCUAGUCGGAANAGGAGAGGUAAAGAGGGGGGGGAUAGAGAGACACACACACACUCUCUCUCUCUCUUUGUCUCUCGCGUGCGCUCGGGGGGUGCGGGUCGCCCGCACAUGGCAGGCCGGCCCCACCCCCUUCCCCCCUCUCUCACUCUUUCUCCUCUUCCCUCCCUCUCCCCACCCCCAUGGGACCCCCCAUGUUUCUCUCUCUCUCUCUCUCUCUCUCUCUCUCUCUCGCUCGCGCGUGCGUGCGGGGGGCGCGGGUCGGGGACGCCCCGUCUCUCUCUCUCUCUUUCUCUCUGGGCAGGGGUCGCGCGCACCCGCCGAGCGCGGGUCGCACGCGCGUAAGGGUGAGAAAGAGGGGGGGAGAGAGAGAGGGGGGGAGAGACAUGGGGAGAGGGAGAGAGAGGUAGGGAGGCGGGGGGAGGGAGGCCCUGAGGGUGGGGAGAGAGAGUGAGAGACAGAGCUGGAGAGAGAGAGAGGGGGAGAGACAGAUAGGGAGGUGGAGAGAGAUAGAGAGAGUGAGAGAGAGAGAGAGAGAGCCAAAAAAAAAAGAAAGAAAGGGGCCCCAUCGAAGCCCCCCCGCCAAACGCGGGGAGGCUUUGAAGGGGCCACAGUAAAACUGGGCUUUUAAUAUAUGUAUACACUAUAGAUGAUACAAAUCGCCAACCAUUUCCUUCUUGUACAAAACUUUUGAAGUGUUGUAUCAAAACUCAGAUUAUCAAAUCUUUAAUUCAUUGCAUAACCAAUUAUCAUCAGUUGAUGCAUUCACCCAUAAAUUUUUCCAAAUUAGUAUUUACCGGUGAAAAAAGCUUUUUUUUUUUUUUCUUUUCUUUUCAUGAAUGGGAACUUCAAAAAGCAAUUCACUUUUGUAUUUCAUUUUCAAAUACCACAAAAUCUCUAUUAAUUAAAAUUGGCCCAACUAGCUAAGCACAAAUCCUUAAAUAUGAAUUUAAUUAUGUAGAGUUUUAAAUCGAAUCAAACUCUCAUUUAGAGAAAUUUCAAUUAAAAUCCCAACAUGUGUUAUAUGUACACUUGACUAGUUCUUAUUUAGAAAUAUAAUAUCUGCUAAUCUUUUCAACUGCAAAAUAAUUAUUCUUCAACUUCUACUUCAUCUUAAAGUGAUGCUUUGACUGCUGAAUAAACAAUUAAAUUAUUUGCAAUAAAUUAAUUAAAUCAUCUCUGAAAAAUGAUGUGAUAACUAAAAGGCCAAUUUGCAUAAAAAAUUCACUUAUUUUGGGCUUUUGUAAAAUCGGGCCACAUUUUUUCUUUUUGCAGAUUCGGUCCGCUUUUUCAGCAAACUGACCAAAAUACCUUUAUACCUUUUUCUCUCUCCUAUUAUUUUUCUCUCAUUCUUUUUUUCUUUCUCUUCCUAAAUAGCGGCGGAGGCGGAGGAGGCGGCUUGUCCGGCGCAUCCUUACUCUCGCCUGCACACCCCCGCACCUUCCUUGCCUCCAACCCUGCCGAGGCAGCGCCGCUACUCUUUUUUUUUUCUCUUCGACCCUCCUCCACGGCCUCUCCGGCCCAUCCGAUGGUAACGAGGACGGCCGCCCUUCUCGUUCUCUCCCUCUCCCUCCUCCUCUGCCGUCUCCGACGACGANUUUUAAACAGAAUAAGAGCAUAUGCUUGGUUGAUAUAAAGUAAAUAAUAAAAAGUGAAAUUGGUCAAUUUGUAUAAAAAAUUUACUAACUUUAGACUUUUGCAAAACUGGACCGUCUUUUUUAAUUUUGUAGAUUUGGUCCGAAUUUUCAGCAAACUGACCAAAAUACCCUUAUUACUUUUUCUGUCUCCUCUUUGUUUCUUUCGUUCUUUUUUUUUUUCUCUCGCCGAAAAAGUAGCGGAGUCAGAGGUAGAGGCGGAGGCGGAAAUGGCCCGCCUCGCUUCUCACUCUCAUGCUCUCGCCCUCGCCCUUGCCUUCGCCCACGUACCCCCCACCUUCCUCACCUCCGAGCCCACCGAGAUCGCGCCGUGACUUUUUUUUUUUCCUCUCCAACUCUCCUCCACUGUUUCCGACGACGACGCCUUUCUCGCCCUUCCCCGCCCUUCUCGUCUUCUCCUUCUCUCUCCUCCUCUGCCGCAUCCGACGAGUACGCAUCUUUGUCGACGCCGACACCGUGAAGGUUGCUGCGGAACUGCAGUCUCAGAGCGGGGUGUCCUUAGCGGCGACGUCGCCGGCGUCGUGGCUAUUGGCAAAGACGGAUGACCAAAAAAAAUAAUAAAAGAAACAAGAAAAAAAAAUAAAAAUAAAAAAUUAUAGAAAAAGAAUGAUGAAAAUAAAAUUGUAUCGUUAACUGCAAAAAAAAUUAUAAGUUGUACUACUUAAGAUGUAAACUGCAGUUUUAAGAUGAAAAUUACACUUUUUAAACGAAAAUUAU